UGCGAGCGUUAAUCGGAAUUACUGGGCGUAAAGCGUGCGCAGGCGGUUUUGUAAGACAGAUGUGAAUCCCCGGGCUUAACCUGGGAACUGCGUUUGUGACUGCAAGACUUGAGUGCGGCAGAGGGGGGUGGAAUUCCACGUGUAGCAGUGAAAUGCGUAGAGAUGUGGAGGAACACCGAUGGCGAAGGCAGCCCCCUGGGUCGACACUGACGCUCAUGCACGAAAGCGUGGGUAGCAAACAGGAUUAGAUACCCUGGUAGUCCACGCCCUAAACGAUGCCAACUAGGUGUUGGGGAAGGAGACUUCCUUAGUACCGUAGCUAACGCGUGAAGUUGGCCGCCUGGGGAGUACGGUCGCAAGAUUAAAACUCAAAGGAAUUGACGGGGACCCGCACAAGCGGUGGAUGAUGUGGAUUAAUUCGAUGCAACGCGAAAAACCUUACCUACCCUUGACAUGCCAGGAAUCCCGGAGAGAUUUGGGAGUGCUCGAAAAGAGAACCUGGACACAGGU
This 510-nucleotide ribosomal RNA is filed under the name uncultured bacterium. RNAcentral's name for it is "bacterial SSU rRNA". It matches the Rfam family "Bacterial small subunit ribosomal RNA", at positions 533 to 1039 of the family's 1533-position model. The record is from RNAcentral.